GGCCCACUUCACGACGGUCGUGCGGCGGCUUGCAAAGCCGUUGGACUCCGGGUUCGACUCCCGGGUGGGUCUCCA
RNAcentral lists this transfer RNA (75 nucleotides) under Amycolatopsis japonica. RNAcentral's name for it is "tRNA-Cys (GCA) (tRNA-Cys-GCA-2-1)". It matches the Rfam family "tRNA". Rfam says of the family: Transfer RNA (tRNA) molecules are approximately 80 nucleotides in length. Their secondary structure includes four short double-helical elements and three loops (D, anti-codon, and T loops). Further hydrogen bonds mediate the characteristic L-shaped molecular structure. tRNAs have two regions of fundamental functional importance: the anti-codon, which is responsible for specific mRNA codon recognition, and the 3' end, to which the tRNAs corresponding amino acid is attached (by aminoacyl-tRNA synthetases). tRNAs cope with the degeneracy of the genetic code in two manners: having more than one tRNA (with a specific anti-codon) for a particular amino acid; and 'wobble' base-pairing, i.e. permitting non-standard base-pairing at the 3rd anti-codon position. Lineage: Bacteria; Bacillati; Actinomycetota; Actinomycetes; Pseudonocardiales; Pseudonocardiaceae. RNAcentral also lists the same sequence under 1 other name. The record is from RNAcentral.